Antechinus flavipes (yellow-footed antechinus) is the source of this 441-nucleotide non-coding RNA. RefSeq annotates it as small Cajal body-specific RNA 2. The record is from RefSeq and is a predicted model, not a curated record. Lineage: Eukaryota; Metazoa; Chordata; Mammalia; Dasyuromorphia; Dasyuridae. The transcript has a single exon.
UGGUAGCGGUAAGGUUUAAGCACGCGGGGUGUUUGAUGUGCGUGAAGUGUCUGAGUUUAGCGUGUUAGGACGCAUGCAAGCCGCGUGGGUGUGCGUGUAAGUCCCGAGUGUGAGUGUGCAAGACGAGUGCGUGCCCGCGUGCCGAACCGACCCCUUCCUGACUCUUUCCCCCCCUACACUCUGAUCUUAUUUGAUCGGGUCGCGCUCCCGCCUCGCCGGCCCGGCCCGAGAUGAGAAGCUCUCCUCCCGCGAAGCCCCGGCCCACCCGGGCCAAGGCGCUGUGCGGCGAGGCCCAUGCGAACAGGCGGCGGCCGCUCCCGGGCUUCCCGAGCCGACCCUUCCGGGGGUCGGCCCGGCCGGGCGCUCAGAAGUGAUGAGUUGAUCAGAUAGACGAGGCGGGGCUAGCCCCUGCCCUUGAGUAUCGAGGCGAUUCUGAUCUGA